AUUGAACGCUGGCGGAAUGCCUUACACAUGCAAGUCGAACGGCAGCACGGACUUCGGUCUGGUGGCGAGUGGCGAACGGGUGAGUAAUGUAUCGGAACGUGCCCAGUCGUGGGGGAUAACGUAGUGAAAAUUACGCUAAUACCGCAUACGACCUAUGGAUGAAAGCGGGGGAUCGCAAGACCUCGCGCGAUUGGAGCGGCCGAUAUCAGAUUAGGUAGUUGGUGGGGUAAAGGCCCACCAAGCCAACGAUCUGUAGCUGGUCUGAGAGGACGACCAGCCACAAUGGAACUGAGAAACGGUCCAGACACCUACGGGAGGCAGCAGUGGGUAAUUUUGGACAAUGGGCGAAAGCCUGAUCCAGCCAUUCCGCGUGCAGGAUGAAGGCCCUCGGGUUGUAAACUGCUUUUGUACAGAACGAAAAGGUUUCUACUAAUACUAGGAGCUCAUGACGGUACUGUAAGAAUAAGCACCGGCUAACUACGUGCCAGCAGCCGCCGUAA
This 500-nucleotide ribosomal RNA is filed under the name uncultured bacterium. RNAcentral's name for it is "partial 16S ribosomal RNA". It matches the Rfam family "Bacterial small subunit ribosomal RNA", at positions 30 to 523 of the family's 1533-position model. The record is from RNAcentral.